GUGUCAGCAGCCGCGGUAAUACCAGCUCUCCGAGUGGUGGGGAUGAUUAUUGGGCCUAAAGCAUCCGUAGCCGGCUGGACAAGUCCCCUGUUAAAUCCAACGAUCCAAUCGUUGGUCUGCGGGGGAUACUGUCCGGCUUGGGGGCGGGAGAGGCCGCCGGUAUUUCCGGGGUAGGGGUGAAAUCCUAUAAUCCCGGGAGGACCACCAGUGGCGAAGGCUGUCGGCUAGAACGCGCCCGACGGUGAGGGAUGAAAGCUGGGGGAGCGAACCGGAUUAGAUACCCGGGUAGGCCCAGCUGUAAACGAUGCAGGCUUGGUGUUAGGGCGGCUACGUGCCGCUCUAGUGCCGCAGGGAAGCUGUUAAGCCUGCCGCCUGGGGAGUACGGUCGCAAGGCUGAAACUUAAAUGAAUUGGCGGGG
RNAcentral lists this ribosomal RNA (418 nucleotides) under uncultured prokaryote. Its description in RNAcentral is "bacterial SSU rRNA". It matches the Rfam family "Archaeal small subunit ribosomal RNA", at positions 455 to 873 of the family's 1478-position model. The record is from RNAcentral.